AACGAACGCUGGCGGCAUGCCUAACACAUGCAAGUCGAACGAGACCUUCGGGUCUAGUCGCGCACGGGUGCGUAACGCGUGGGAACCUUCCCUUAGGUUCGGAAUAACUCCCCGAAAGGGGUGCUAAUACCGGAUAAUGUCUUCGGACCAAAGAUUUAUCGCCCUUGGCUGGGCCCGCGUUGGAUAAGCUAGUUGGUAGGGUAAAAGCCUACCAAGGCGACGAUCCAUAGCUGGUCUGAGUGGAUGAUCAGCCACACCGAGACUGAGACCCGGCCCAGACUCCUACGGGAAGCAGCAGUGAGUGAUAUAGGACAACGGGCGAAAGCCUGAUCGAGCAAUGCCGCGUGAAUGAUGUAGGCCUUAGGGUUGUAAAGCUCUGUUAACCAGGAGCAUAAUGACAGUACCGAAAAAAAAAGCUCCGGCUAACUCCGUG
RNAcentral lists this ribosomal RNA (433 nucleotides) under uncultured bacterium. RNAcentral describes it as "partial 16S ribosomal RNA". It matches the Rfam family "Bacterial small subunit ribosomal RNA", at positions 29 to 507 of the family's 1533-position model. The record is from RNAcentral.